CAUAAUCAAACCAAAAAUUCCAAGUGCAUUCCAAUCCAGAUUUAAAAAUUCAAAUUCCAAGUGUAUUACACGUAAAUCAGAAAGGGCAGCACAAUGAAAUUGAAGCAAAAAGAUAAAAAGUUGAACCCGAAAUCGCCGCUCCCUUUCAUGGCAGAAUCAUCGCCGACCACCACCGCCAACGUCGUCGGCGAGCUUGAGCAGCGGUGCUUCUCUGAUUUUCUCACCACGAGCUUGGCAGAAUAGUGAAAAAUGAUUCUUUUUCAUGACCCACAAACACCAAAUCCAAACGAGAGAGAGAGAGAGAGAGAGAGAGCGACCGCCCACCACCGCCGUUCUUCCCCGACGCAGAUCCGACGAGCAAUCGUGGCUGUCCCCCACCCGCUUUCCGCCUCAGCACCUUCAAUUCAAACAUACAAAAUAUUAACUCCUUCAAAAAACAUUGGUAUUAAUGCACUUAAUUGUCCACCACCAUUUAAUCUAUCACAUUAAACAUACAAAAUAUUAACUCCUUCAAAAAAUUGCAAAAAGUUCGGAGAAUGGAGGGAAUACUUUACUAGUACAAUUUUUCCCCUAAGAAGGGGCAGAGGAAACGUG
Molecule: long non-coding RNA, 594 nt
Filed under: Salvia miltiorrhiza (redroot sage)
Lineage: Eukaryota; Viridiplantae; Streptophyta; Magnoliopsida; Lamiales; Lamiaceae
Description: long non-coding RNA (SMIL_LNC005702)
Source: RNAcentral